RNAcentral lists this ribosomal RNA (253 nucleotides) under uncultured bacterium. RNAcentral's name for it is "partial 16S ribosomal RNA". It matches the Rfam family "Bacterial small subunit ribosomal RNA", at positions 524 to 776 of the family's 1533-position model. The record is from RNAcentral.
UACGGAGGGGACUAGCGUUGUUCGGAAUUACUGGGCGUAAAGCGCACGUAGGCGGAUUUGUAGGUCAGGGGUGAAAUCCCGGGGCUCAACCUCGGAACUGCCUUUGAUACUGCAAAUCUCGAGUCCGGAAGAGGUGAGUGGAAUUCCUAGUGUAGAGGUGAAAUUCGUAGAUAUUAGGAAGAACACCAGUGGCGAAGGCGGCUCACUGGUCCGGUACUGACGCUGAGGUGCGAAAACGUGGGGAGCAAACAGG